AUGUCUGGUAUCAAACUUGUAGCACUUAGUCUCGUUGCCCUGCUAGUAGUUGGACUAUCCAAUGCUGCACGGGUAGCUAGAUUGUCUAGUGCAGAGGGGCAAGGUCAAGGAGGGGGAGCGGGAGGUGGAACGGGUACCGGUGCCGGGGCAGGGUCUGGGGGUGGCGAUGGGUCGGCUGGCAGUAGUGUUAGUAUGUCUGGGUCACCGGAUCAUGCCCGGGCUACUUCCGGUGGUGGCGGUAGUGGUGGCAGUGGGUAUGGCUCAGGGUCAGGGUCAGGAUCUAGCUCAAGUACUAGCCGUGGUGUCGGAAGAGCAUGGAUUAGCGGUGGGCGUACUGAUGCUGGAGGUGCCGGUGGUGGUGGGGGUGCCGGAAGAGGAGACGGUCACCAAGGAUCUAGUGGCCAUGGCGAUGGCUCCGGCUUUGGGAGCGGCUCCAGCAAGGUGGACAGUGAAGGCUAUUAUGGGGCAUCUGGCUAUACUAAUGGUGGCGGCAAUGGUGAUGGUGGAGGUCAUGGCGAAGGUGGUGGAUACGGUAACGGUGGAGGGAAUGGGUCAGGUUAUGGCAACGGUGAAUUCCCUUAA
This 582-nucleotide ribosomal RNA is filed under the name Triticum aestivum (bread wheat). RNAcentral's name for it is "partial small subunit ribosomal RNA". Lineage: Eukaryota; Viridiplantae; Streptophyta; Magnoliopsida; Poales; Poaceae. The record is from RNAcentral.